UCUACGGGAGGCAGCAGUGAGGAAUAUUGGACAAUGGGCGAGAGCCUGAUCCAGCCAUGCCGCGUGCAGGAAGACGGCCCUAUGGGUUGUAAACUGCUUUUAUACGGGAAGAAACACUCUGACGUGUCAGAGCUUGACGGUACCGUAAGAAUAAGGAUCGGCUAACUCCGUGCCAGCAGCCGCGGUAAUACGGAGGAUCCAAGCGUUAUCCGGAAUCAUUGGGUUUAAAGGGUCCGUAGGCGGGACAAUAAGUCAGCGGUGAAAGUCUGUGGCUCAACCAUAGAAUUGCCAUUGAUACUGUUGUUCUCGAGUGUUUAUGAAGUGGUUAGAAUAUGUAGUGUAGCGGUGAAAUGCUUAGAUAUUACAUGGAAUACCGAUUGCGAAGGCAGAUCACUAAUAAAAUACUGACGCUGAUGGACGAAAGCGUAGGUAGCGAACAGGAUUAGAUACCCUGGUAGUCUACGCCGUAAACGAUGGUUACUAGCUGUUCGGAAGCAAUUCUGAGUGGCUAAGCGAAAGUGAUAAGUAACCCACCUGGGGAGUACGUUCGCAAGAAUGAAACUCAAAGGAAUUGACGGA
Molecule: ribosomal RNA, 579 nt
Filed under: uncultured bacterium
Lineage: Bacteria
Description: bacterial SSU rRNA
Rfam family: Bacterial small subunit ribosomal RNA
Source: RNAcentral